Molecule: RNA transcript, 8085 nt
Organism: Amphiprion ocellaris (clown anemonefish)
Lineage: Eukaryota; Metazoa; Chordata; Actinopteri; Pomacentridae
Exons: 4
Source: RefSeq, a predicted model, not a curated record
GGACGUCUCCAUAGCAACCUGCUGUGUUAUCACGCUUCCACUCUCGCGAACUGAGACACCGGAGGUCUGAGACGGAAGAAGAUGGGCUACACGCAUACACAAACAUUCGGACUCAUGAACUGAGGACUGAGCUAAACAUUCGCACACAUGUCCAUAACCCCCAUCCCCCCCGCCUCCACAAGCUUUCCUCACUAUACACAGGAGCCAGGAAUGCAUGCAGUAAUUUGCUGCACAGGAACCGGCUAACUGUGCGGUGUUCCCCCCUCCACCACCCCACAUCCUUAUCCCAACUAUCCUUGUCUAACGUCAUGCUUUGCCUGUUUGCGGGUUUGUUUGUUUUUUUUUAGGUUCCUUCUCAAAUUGAAUUUCCCAACAUUGGAGGUUUCAUUUGGUACAACGAGCCUUUUUUUUCCUUUUACCCUCUGCUAUCCCUACCCAGAUCCCUACAUGUCCUUUUCUUUUUUUCCUCAAGAAAGGUGCGCGCAGCACUGCGCAGCAGCCUGAGCUGUCAUUGGCAGGGCAGCUCAAAUGUAAUUUCGUUGUAUAUGAAAAUGUGCAAUGACAAAUAAAGCAUCUAUCUAUCAAGGCUGUAAAUUUCAGAGCAAUGUUUAUUCCACUUUUAAUGCACAUAGAAGUAAACAACAUCAGGUGCACUGUGAGAUAACAUUCAAACCUGAAAUUGUUGAGAAUGUACUUGAUCAGCAUCCCGCCGGUCUGGAUGUUCAACCUGAGACUAGUGUCCCUGAGGCUGAAGAUGUUGAGUCUGAGCUUACUGAGUUCAGUGAAGAUGUGGAAGACCUGGAGAAUCAGUUAAAGCAUAAUGUAGCUGCUCUUUUUCUGAAAAUGUCAUCAAUUCUUAACAUCUCUGAAUCUGCCCUGCAAGAGGUUAUAGAGCAAAUCAACCAAAUUUAUUUGCUGUCACAGCCAUUGUUACAGUCCUCAAUUCAAAGAAUACUAAACCAGCAUGAUGACUCUGUAGUGCGUGAAGUAGCUAGAGUAGUCACUGACAACAAUGCAUUCCUGAAAUUCACUUCUGCUGGGGGAUCUUUGUCAACUGCUAGCAAGCAAACAUAUAUUUUAAGGGAAUUCUCUGUGGUAAUGCCUAUUGAGUAUAUCAUAAAAAAUGAAAAGCAGACAGUAGUGUAUGUCCCCAUACUUAAAAUGCUGCAGACAUUGCUGAAUAAUGGAGAAAUCUUGGAUAAGGCCAUGCCACUGGAGUCAGGUUUGUCUCAGGGAUACAGAUCUUACAGGGAUGGUUCCCGCUUUAAAGGGAAUCCUUUCUUGACAGCGGAAGAGUUCAGGGUUGCUCUUUGCUUGUACAUAGAUGAUUUUGAGGUGGUAAAUCCCUUGGGAACCUCAAGGAAGAAACACAAGCUAUGUGCUAUCUACUGGGUUCUUGGCAAUCUGCACCCCAAAUAUCGCUCCCCUCUUCAUUCCAUUCAGCUUGCUCUGCUUUGCAAGGUCAACAACAUCAAAAACUAUGGUUAUAGGGAAAUUCUUUGCCCACUCAUUCAAGACCUUGUUUCUCUUGAGCAACAUAGUGUGUAUAUUGAACAGUUAGGAGCCAGCAUAAAAGGGACAGUACUAUUUGUUGCAGCAGACAAUUUAGCAGCCCAUUCUUUGGGAGGAUUUUUGGAAAGCUUCAGAGUUAGUCAGAUGUGCCGAUUUUGUAUGGCAAAGCGGGAGAAAAUACAACACAAGGAUGUGCGGACAGGCUCUUUCCAACCAAGGACAAAAGAAAGUCAUGACAGGCAUGUGCAAGAAGUAUUGCAGGAUUCUACCAUGGCCCAACAAUCUGGUGUGAAAGGACGCUGCCCACUUACUGAAAGCUUAGAACAUUUUCACGUUGAUGGUUAUCCACCAGACCUUUUGCAUGAUCUUCUGGAGGGCAUCGUUCCAGCUGAGAUGGCUUUGUGCUUGACAGCACUGAUAUCAAAGGGGUAUUUCUCACUUGACGCCCUAAAUGUGGCCAUUAAAACGUUUCCUUUUACAUUUUCAGACAGAACAAACCAACCUCAGCUCAUCAUAAAGAGUUUUUCUUGCAAGGGAACAAUUGGAGGAAACGGUCAUGAAUAUUGGACGCUUCUCCGACUUUUGCCGCUACUAAUUGGUCAUCACGUUCCUCAGGGGGAUGAAACCUGGGAGGUUUUAAUGAACUUAAAAGAUGUUGUGCAGUUGUCCGUUUCCUCAGCUUUUACCAUGGAGUCGGUGUACUUUCUUCAUUGCAAGAUUGCAGAACAUUAAGGUAUAUUUCAGAAAGUUCUCCCAAAUGAAAGACUACGGCCCAAGCUGUCAUGGCGAGGGGGGGUGAACCCGAGCAGAGAGCACACAGACGAGGGACUGAGGCAAGAACAAAGGUGGAUUUUAAUUUAAACAAAACAAAGGGGAGUGCUGGACGGGGUGGGGAACCUGGUGACUGGAAUAACUGAACUAAAGGUGAGGUUGGGAGAGGGGUGACUGUACCAGGAACCUGCGGCCCGGUUGGUGUUCUCCGUGGGGUGGGUCGGCGGCAGAGAGCGGGCAGGAGGGCCCCAUUCCAGGUGGGGCGACAGGCGGGGUAUUUUCCGGAGCCGAGGGGGGCACACAGCAGGCAGAGACCCUCCACAACAAGCAGGGGUUCCAGGAGCAGGCAGCAGGUCCAAGGUGAGGGAGGCAGGGGGGGAGGUCUGGUCAGGGCUGGAUCCGGAGUGCAGGAGAUGGGAGGACAGAGCAGGUGGAACCAGGCAGCUGGGUCAGCAGAGCUAGGCAAGAGAAACAGGGUUAGUCAAGGUAAAGCUUUUCAAUGGAAAAAUCUCAGCAAAGGUGCAAGGCUAGACAGCUGACUACAUGAGCAGAGUUUACUAUCUGGCAGGGUGUGGAGAGUGUGGCCGGUUUUUAUGGUGGAGAUGAUCAGCAGGUGUGCUGCAUCACAGCUGCCCGGAGUUCCACUGAUGAGUGAUUGGUGAUGAACCACAGCUGGCCAGAGCAGCUCUGCCGAGCUGCAGCAGGAAGGUGGAGAGAGGAAUAGGAGUGAGGGAGGAUGAGGGAGGUCAGGUGGGGGCUGAAGCUGGGACAGGGGAGGGAGCCCUGACACAAGCAUCACUACAUUGAGCACUACCCUCAAUUAAUUCAAAUUUUUGGACCAUUAUGUGAUGUUUGGACAAUGCGUUUUGAAGGAAAACACAAGUUUUUCAAAAAAGUUGUCCGUCAUCCUCACAACUUCAAGAACAUACCCCUUACUUUACUUUAGCUCUCAGACACCAGAAAAUGAUCGCCUUCCAGUUAGCUACCAAUUCCUUUUUCAAGCCAUCUGUUCAGGUGAAUAAAGUAAAGACUGUGAUGGUUACCUCAUUCCCUGAAAAUGUGCAGAAAUUUUUGUAUGACAAGAAUGCCCAGCAGAACACAGUUCUUACUGCAGCUUCCGUCUGCAUAGAUGGCAUCAAGUACUGUGCUGAUAUGGUCAUUUCAGUUGGAUCUUGCUCAGGGCUACCAGAUUUUAGACAAAUAGCAAAGAUUGUGGUGAUCAGUACUGACAUAGUAUUUGUUUGCAGACUUAUGACCUCAUGGUAUAAUGAGCAUCUUAGAGCCUAUGAGCUCUCUAGCAGCCAUUUGUCCACCCUGUUGGCCACACAUCCAUCUGAAUUGAAUGACAUUUUCCCUCUGUCAUUGUACAGAGUAAGAGGCCAACAGUUUGUUACACUUAAAAGGUACAUAUUAUGCUGAGUUUUGUAAACUCUCAGAUGUUAGAAUUUCACGCAAAUGUUUUCUCUUUUCUCAGGAUGAGUAACCAAAAUGGACCAAAGGUUAUUGCUGAGAGUUGUCAUCAAUGAAGAGAAUAUUACAAAGAUAACCUUAAAUGAGAGACCAGAUUCCACUGAAGAGUUAAAAGUGCAGUUGAAGAAUAAAUUGUCUUUGGAAUAUGACUUUAAACUGCAGUAUGAAGAUCCAGAUUUCAAUCAUGCCCUGUGCAACUUGACAGAAAUUGCAGAUUUGCCUCAGAGAGCUACGCUCAAAAUAAUCCCUCUUGUGACUCUAAAUUUAACAGACUUAUCCUCACUUGUCACAUUAUCUGACACUGAGUGCAGCACAGCAGACACUGAGAUCUUGUCAACUCCUGGAACAUCACCAUUGGUAAGGAGACAACAGUGGCCAGAGUUCUUUGACAUACCCAAUUUCUCAGUUGAUGUUAACUACAGACUUAGACAGGCUGAUCUAGCCUUUAUGAGAGAUAAAACACGGAUGACUCCAACACGAGAUAUGAAGCAUGACAUCCUUGAAAAGCUAGGUGAGACAAUGUACAGUUUUAAGGCUUAUCCAGAUGACAACAAUUUCAAUCUUGUGGCAAAAGCACUGAUUAGUAAGCAGCCCUGCCUUACUGAGCCAGGUGAUCAGCCAGGAUGGUAUGGCUAGAAGAACAGCCUGAAAUUUAAGAUGGCCAAUUACCGCACAAAGCUCAGGAAAUCUGGACAUGAAGAUGUAGCAAUCAAUGGUGGUAAAAGAAGUAGAGGCAACCCAACAGGAGAAGCAUCAGGCAAAAAUAUCAAACGACCAAAAAGAUGUGAAGCAAAUUAUCUCCCUAAUUUACAUGGACAUGAUGAAACAAGCCUUGAAAAUGCCAGAAAAAUUCUUGUGGAAGAAAUGAAGAAAAAACAACCAAAUGGCACCCUGAUCUCACAGCUGAUGGACCAGACAUUCCCACUGCGCAGACAAGAGAUCGUGAAAAAGGAGCCUGCUGUACAAGACAUGGUUAAUCGAUGGCCAGGACUCUUCACAGAGAGACAGGUGUUUGCUGAAUUCAAUAGGAUUGCUAACAAGAACCUCCAGGGAGACUUCUUCCAGGCUCUAGAUCAACACACCCCACGAUUCAUUGAGCUCUUCAAGUCAAAAAAAGGAACUGUUGGACAGAAACUGUCUGAGUUUAUGGAGCAGAUCAGCUGGGCGACAGCAGACAUUACUGGGCUGUGCUCACUUGUCCUGAAAGGCAUCUCCAUCUUACUCGGUGACGACUCCAGUGAGUUCUAUAGGUCAUGCUAUGAAAUGGAGAAAGAUGAAGUACAACAAUCUAUCACAGUCGGUGUGCUCACGGUUAUCUAUGAAGGCCCAGUGCAAGGUCCAAGCACUGUGCAUGUUCACACCCAUAGUCCUGCCAUAGUCCUCGAAGGGAAUAUUGUGAUGGACAACACUGACAACUUUCCUCAGGCAGUUUGCCUGGUCUUUGGCCUUAUCUAUGCCUUGCAUUUAGAUUACCUUAAAAGGAUGGCAAAUACGCUGAACUUCAUGCUUGCAGUCAUGCUAGGGUUAGGGAACAAGACCCUCUCUCCGAAACUGAUAACUCUAAAGAACAUUCUGCUGGGUUAGACCAGUAAGGGGUGAUUGGUAACCUAUUCAAACAAUAUGCAAAAAGAGGACUACUCAGUGUUUUUUGUGUCGAGUCCCUUAUGUGUUGAUUGUAUAGAACCAUUAUAUAAAACCGUUUCUAGUUUAAAAGGGUAAAUUACUCAUGACUUUUUGUUUCGGAUGAUUAAUGUUGAAUUUAAGGUCAGAACAUGUUUUUCUCCUAGAAUGGAUCUUUGUUAUCGGCUACAGCUCUUCACUUAAAGUGAGUUUUGUUCAGCUUUGCAGUGUAUGACACUGAGACUCGAUUGUUCAUUUAAAAAAAAAAAAAAUAGCAACAGAGGCUAGAAUUGUGUUUUUGUUUUUUAAAAAUGUUUGUAUGGUAUUGUUGACUUAUACAAAUGUACAAAUUUGUGUGCUUAUAAGGAGUAAUAUUUGAAAUGUGCCACAAUUGCAUGUGGUCCAGUUCUUUUUAUAAAAUUAGUGCUGCUUGAACCUUAUGUUUCUUUGUCCAAUAUUCAAGCCAAAGGUAUGUAAAAGCAAUUGUUUUGUACUCUAAAGGAGAAUUUGAGGUCUUUUUUGAGAGCAUGGCUUGGUUUUCAUUUGAAAAUAAAUGCUGCAGCCGUUGAAAAUAGUGUCAUUGUGUUGUUUUGGGUUAUUGUAGAUUGUUAUAGUUUACACAGCAUGUUUAUAGAUACAUAAUUAGGGGAAGAAAUUGUUUUGCUUAAUUUAAAUUUCAAGUAGGUUUCACUAAACAAAAUUAAAUGAUUAUAAUUAAUGUCUUUUAAGUUAAAUAAACUUAAAUAUAGUAAGCGAGCUGUGCUACUAAAUCUAAGUAUAGUUCACUUACAUAAACAAGUUAUAGUAAGUAUUGCUCACUCACAAUAAAUAAGUUACUGUAACUCUGCAAUCUUAAGUUUACUAAAUUUUUUUGAGGCAACGAGUUUGCAUACUUUUUUUCAGUAAAGCCAACUAAUUAGAUUUUACAGUGUGAGAAAAUACAAUGCAAUAUUUAUUCAACAGUCAGCCAAGGACAUAUCUGGCUUAUAAACCAGAUCAGUUUGUCUGAUUGUAUAUAAUUGGAAUGCACUUAAAGGCCUACUUACCUGCCUCUCCUGCCUCGUUUAAUAUUCGCUGUUUGUGCUGCACGUGCAGUGCUUAACAAAUUUAUUAGACCACCACCCAGUAUAAGGUGUUUGCCACCGCUGCCCUAAAUUAACAAUAUUGCUGAAUACCAAAAUAUGUUUUUUAAUGUUUCUGUAAUGGUUAAUGUGCAACAGUAUGUGUAAGCUCUUUGAUCAAAAUGAUAUCUUUAAUGGUAAAAUAUAAUUAUUGUUAUUAUUAUUGUUAUUUUUAUUAUAUUAAUUUUUGGCAUUUACUGUUCUACAAAAAAGCAGAAAAAAGUAAGAUGAGGGGAAAAGGAAUAGAUGGGAGAGCUGUCAGCUAUACAGAGAUGGAGGGCAUGACACUCACCUGUUUGAACUCUCAUAAACUAAUACAUAUGCACAGCACUUUGUUAAAACACUUAAUCAUUUUGUUCUUCAUACCAUCAUGGUCCUUUUGAUUGGUUGUCUGACAUCAAGAAGAGUAAGCCUGUGAGGGACAUACAUCAAAAAAAGAAAUGAGAGAAGGGGAUGUGCACCAGAGGAGGGUGGACCCUUGCUCUAUUACUCACUCACUAUUGACAGAAGCAACACUAGAAAACUGAGUUGGACUUGCAAGCAUUUAGCUAAAACCUGCAUCCUUUUUUUGGCAUAGGUAAUCAUUGGCAGUUACCUAUGCCAAGUUCCUUUUUCAUGCCUACUUCAUGUUAAGAUGUUAGUAUAGCAUUUACAUUAAAUCUAAUACUGUCAGGCUGGCUGCUGCCAGGCCUAGAUAGUGCUCUCCCCCUCUUUUCUCCACCUCUUUUUCCUUUUUAGGUUUGUCAGCAGUGCAGUUGCAGCGGCAGGUGUCUCUCAUUGUCAAUCAUCAUCAGCUGGUGCAGGAGCAGGUGGAGAAGUUGCCACUCAAGCUCCACUCUCGCCACAAUAUAAUCAGACGCCACUCACCUCUCAGCGCCGGAUCGUGACACAGCCAGUACAAGAAUUCUGCAUGUUACUCCUGCCACAAGUUCCAUGAUCUCGUUCUCCCGGUAACUCUGUUUGUCCUCCUUCGUUUCAGUCCCAGUUCCACCUGCUCCUGCUGCAAUUCUUCCUGGUUUCCUCGUCACCUCCAGUUUCCUACUCCGUUCAAGUGUUCUGGAAAUAUUCACCUGUGUCAUCCUCCUCCUUCCUGGUGUCCCUCCACGUUCACCUGCCGCUGCAACUCACCACCCGUCAUCCGGACUCGAGAACCACUCGUCAAAAUCCCUCAGCCACUUACAGUCAUGAGCCCAGUCCGAGCAUCUUAUUUUAUAGUCGUGAGUCAGUCCUAGAAAACUGUUUUUCUGAUUAUCUGAGUAGCAGCUCUUGAAUUUUGAUAUCGGGUCAAGUAAUAAUCUUGAGUCUUGAAUCUAGUAAGUGUAGAGUCCUGAUUUAAUUCCUAGCUUCAAGUUAGUUCUUCGUGAACUGAAGAUUUUGAAUUUGGUUCAGUUCCUGGAGAGAGUCUUGGUAAGAAUAGACUUUAAUUCAGGCCUCCUAGUUUUUGCCUCGCUUAAGUAAAACACUUUUUGUAUUUUCAUACCUUAGAUUGGUAAGCUCUCUUGGCUGGGUUAUACCCAACAUGUCAGCAUUUUUUGAGUUUUUGUAUUCAGCUGUCCCUGCCUCAAGUAGUUGACAGGAGCUUUUCAGAGGG